GCCUGGACCAUAAUUAGUGCUCAAUAAAUAUCAAUAAUUACCAGUACAAGAACUGGCUUUAUGCACAUUUGUUGAAGAAGAAAGGAAAAUGUUGGGAGAAAAAUAGAAAUCUCUGUGAAUUAUUUGUGAAUUUGGGAAAUUCAGAAUAUUCAUUUUUCUGUAUUUCCAUUCAAGCCUUGUGAUUUUUGUCUACUACAUUUUUCUUUCCUUUUACAGAAACAGAUGUUGUUUUUGGUGAUGUAAGUUACCAGGGUUGGGGGUCUGAUCUGGAGGAACUGGGAGGCACACAGAUACACUCCAGGAUGGAAUGCAGGCAGAAAUCAUGACCUCCAUCCACCUUUAACUUUCCAAGGCCUGGCCCAUAAACCCUCCCUGUCAGGCUUCCUGGUACCUCUUCCCUGGCUGCUAGCUGGAUGCUGAGGCCCUGGGGUGCUGAGCCACUGGUGGAGUGAAGCCUGGGCCUGAAAGGCUGGGUGAAACAGAAGUCAUGGGAUGGGCAGAAGAUGCUGAUCUAGGCUGAUACCUGGCAAACCCUACCUUGUCCUGCCCCUGACACUGCAGAUCUGAGGACGCGCUGGGGGAGCCGAGCAUCCAGGUGUGCAUUUUCCCAUCUUUGCCUCCUUUGCUGUGCCCCAUCCAUGGAUUCUUCCAUUAGUGACCCUGGGAUUUUAAGGCUUGUAGCCUGAGCACUCACAGGGAGGUGUGGGGACUGAGUAAUCCUCUCAAUUGAGCCUGUUAAUAAAUUUGUCACCACACUAGACGAGGGGAAAUGAUUUUAAAUUGAUUCGUGCAGAAUUUUGAUGUGUUCUGCACAUCCAACUUUGCUUUUGGUGCUCUGGUUAAGCAUUGGUGAGUCACCGGUUCAGCCUGAUUAUUCUUGCUGCUGUAAAAGUAGAAAUCAAUAUUAAUAUUUCCUCACUGUUAACCAUCUCUCUAGAACAAAUAUUUUUUCCCCUCCUUCUCCUUCUAUGACUUUGUUAUCUUUGCAUUUCUAAUUGUGUCUGAAAUUUAUGGAGUGUCUUUUUUUUUUUUUGGUAAAGAACUACAGUUUGUGAUGAUGCUGCUUUUCCCAUCACAUCUGGGAUCAGCGUUUGUAAUAGAUUCUCUUUUACGUUCAGCUCCUGAAGAGCACUCUCAUGAUCUGAUAAGAGAAGAUGAUCUUUGCUGGCCCUUUGAGGUAAUGAAUCCUUUUCAUUUGUUUUCUUGCAUACUUUCUAGGUCAGUGAGUGGAGGGAAUUUUUGUCCAACGUGCACCUUGACAGAGCUUCACUGACCACGGGCGGUGUCUCCCUGCUGCCACGCAGCACACCUCUGACCACAGACCUCUCUCCAGAGCCACGUGUUUGCUUCUCACCUGACAGGCUCUGUGAGAGCCCAUCUGUGCUUCCCUGGGAUGUCUGACCGCACGCAUCCCCCACUGUGCAUGGGAGCCCUGCUGGGCCCGUAGGUGGAAUUAUUUCUCAGUUUUAAUCUGAGUACAUAAUUGAGGCUUGUGCCAGCAAGGACUCCCAUCGCUUUCUUUCCUCACACUCCACACGUAGUGCUGCUCAGUGAUUUUACUGUUCCUCUAGGAAUGGCUCCCACCUGCUUAGAGUAUAAGAUUUAUCUCCUUAGCACACCAUGGGAAGUCUCCUAAAAUCCAUCCACUGCUUAUCUCUUUGGCCUCAGCUCUUGGCCCCCUGUGAUGAAACCCUGAUCUCUAGUCAUGCAGAGGUGCUUGCAACUUUCUGAAAGCUCCUUUCAAAGGUGCCUUUGCCUUCUGUUCCCUAUCCCUUCAGGGUCCUUCCCGGCUAGCCACUGCUCCUGGCUAAGUUCUGAGAGGUUGCAUCCACCUCGCGGGAGUGUUGGCCAUUUUCUCCCUUCGAGGUCCUUAUUGUUGGCCUUUCUCUCUUUCCCUACUAGACUCUAAGCUCCCUUAGAGUGGGGCCUCUGUCUCACCCAUCUCUCUGUGGCCCCCAUCUAGUGUGCGGUCAAGGCUUGCUGAGAGCUGCCUUUUCAUGUGUAUUAUGACAAUUCAGCCCAAUGACAAGUGGCUCACUCCAUCUCCAACACGCUCCUGUCAACCUUCCUUUUCCCUGGGUCUCUUCAGUUUAACCUUUUGUGGGCAUACCAUCAUGCAUUAGUUGGAAUCAGAUUGAUACUGGAGGUGUUUUUGUUUUCCAGAAAUGUCUGGGGAAAGUGUGCCUGUGUACUUUUCAUGUAUGUCCGUCGGAGGAAAAGUUUUCAUCAUUCAUUUAUUCUUGUAUCGAUUGCACAAAAUUGCUUAAGAUUCUCCUCUGUGUGUGGUUCCAUGGGAGCUUGGACCACUUUACAUGAUGAAUAGGACAGAGUAGAGUCCCUUUUGGGAAACAGGCAUCUGUAAAAUGCUAUGGGUACAUAAAGAGCCACCUAAUGGAAAUGGGUCACAGCUGGCACUCCAAAGGAGGCAAUGUCUGAGCUGAAUUGGAAGGAAAAGCAGGCAUUUGCCAAUGAGAACUUGGAGGGUUCUCCAGGAGCAGGGCGUGCAGAGAGCCCAUUGAGUGGAGGCGUGUAGGGAGCCAUGGGGACUUUGGUUUAUCUUAAGAACAAUAUGUGUUUGUGUGUACAAGGGAGGGGGCAGAAUAAGGAAUGGCAGAUAAAGCUGAAGAAGUGAGUAGAGGCCAGAUCACAGGGUCCUGACUGUGUCCUGGAUAAACACGGGGAUGCUGGAGGUUUAAUCAGGGUCAUGGCGUGGUAAUAUUUCCAAGUAGAAAGAUCACUUUGGUGGUGAAUUGCAAGGACUGGCCGAUUCCCCUGGUGGUAGGAAAAGAGGUGACCAGGCUGGUUUCCAGCGGAUCUGGGCUGGGGCUGAGCGUCUGGUUAGUGGUUAGGAAUAAGCUGAGGGAUAAUCUCAAGUCAGGCUCUGCUGUGGGGCAUGUGUUCCCUGCCGAGUGUGUGAGAUGUGAGUGCCUGUUCUGCUGGCUGUGCUUCCUUCCCCUGUCUCGGGGUGCCGGGGACUGAGCCCUGUGACUCCAAUUGACGGCUUCAUUUCACAAAUUAAACAUAUCAUGCUAGUGAACCGUUUCAGAGCCACAGCAUUACAGAAUAAGAAAACCACUGCAGCCCUAAGUCUACAAUGCUCAUGAAGCAAACAAUUCUCUGAAACAUUGACCCAGCACCUCAGAGCUCCCCAUAACAGGUCUACCUCUUUGGAAAGGUCAGACUUUUUAAAGGUUAAUUGUUACCCUUAAGAAAAAUGCAAAACAAACGGUAUGGCUGCAUAUUUAAUAGGUGUUUGGAACAGCAUUUCCCAGAAGCACAAUUCCUGAUGAUUUGAUUUUUAAAAAGAAUGGUCUAGAAAUAAAGUGCCCUUGGCAACUUCUGACUUGAAGAAAGUGAGUAUGCCACCUGUGGUUUAAGGAGUAUUAUUAUUAUACGUCUGAAAUGUCCUCUCCCUCCUCCCCUUUCCCCAAAGAAAACAAACCCAGCCAGACAGUAAUUUGACCAUUGCUAUGUCCUGGGUCUUUGCACAGUGGUGGCUGAACAGCUGAGCAUAGAGCGUCCAGGAGAUCUCAUCCUUGUCUGCCUUCUCUUGCCUACUCUUUCUCCCUCAGCUUUCUCCUCUGCUCCCAGCAUUGACCAGGCACUUGUCUGAAGCCAAGCUCUCCAUCAGACUCCCCAACACCUCCCACAUAGCUUACCGAAGAGCUCUCCCUGGACACCUUGCUGGGCGCCUCAGUGCAAUUUGUCCAAACCAAUUUAGCGCCUCUCUUUUCCAUGGCUCUGGUUCUGCCCUUAACUUCUUCCCUCUGCUGAGCUCUCCUCUCCUCCCUGCACUCAUCUUGCCCCCAGCUUGGAUUCUCCAGUUGUUUUCUCACGACUCAUUGUUCUUCUAGCAUGCUGUCCACCCUGGUGCUGGGUCCUACUGAGCUUUUUUCUCCCAAUCUGUCUCAGGACUGUCUCUUUUCAUUGUGGUGGCCACCACUCUAGACGGAACCUCUCUCCUGGAUCACUGCAAUAACUUCCCAAUUGCCUCUAUUACAGAUCAUCCAUUUUGCCCACUGACACAAGACAUUUUCUGGGAGAUCCAUUAUGAUUCUGCAAAUUCCUUGAUCAAAAUUUUUACUGUUUUCUUACUGUCUAUGGUAUGAAUCUCAGAAUUUCAGGGUUCACUGCCUUUCUACCUUAAUCCUUUACUACCUUUUCUUUUCAGUAACCUUCAUCACCCCCAAGUGGAUGGUCUCCAUUUUCCAAGCUGGCAGCUCACCCCCUCUCUCUGUGCCUCUGCUGCUGCGGUCCACACACCUGGAAUGCCCUCUGCACCCUGCACACGGCAUCCCCCCUCCUUCAAGCAUCGGUCAGAGGCCCCAUCCUCCUACCAGCUCCCUGAUCGCUCCAGUCUGGUGCAUUCAUUGUGUAUCAUUUCUCGCAGGCCCCUGGGUACAAUAGCUGUUUGUAUCCAUUGGUUAUUAAUCUGGGGGGAAUGGCGGCAAAUUUAUCUUAUAGUCCCACAGGUAAACUUUCUGAACCUCUGGUUUUGUCUGUAGAAUUGGUAUAGCCAUUCCUUCAAAAUAGGUGUUUGAAGAAUAUUCAAUAUUAAAACUAACUAUUUAUAAGUAUGUAAAGCUCCUAACAGAGUAUCUGACACAUAGUAGUAAACACACAAUUAUUGUCUAUAGCAGGUGCAGCCAUUUUCAAACGAAGGAAAAGAGGAAGGAAAGAAGGAAGGCAGA
This 4691-nucleotide long non-coding RNA is filed under the name Homo sapiens (human). RNAcentral's name for it is "HSALNT0305599". The record is from RNAcentral. Lineage: Eukaryota; Metazoa; Chordata; Mammalia; Primates; Hominidae.